AACGAACGCUGGCGGCGCGUCUUAAGCAUGCAAGUCGAACGGUAAGGGAGAGCUUGCUCUCCCCUAGAGUGGCGGACUGGUGAGUAACGCGUGGGUGACCUGCCCUGAAGAUGGGGAUAGCUAGUAGAAAUAUUAGAUAAUACCGAAUGUGCUCAUUUACAUAAAGGUAAAUGAGGAAAGGAGCUACGGCUCCGCUUCAGGAUGGGCCCGCGUCCCAUUAGCUGGUUGGUGAGGUAAAGGCCCACCAAGGCAACGAUGGGUAUCCGGCCUGAGAGGGUGAACGGACACAUUGGGACUGAGAUACGGCCCAAACUCCUACGGGAGGCAGCAGCUAAGAAUCUUCCGCAAUGGACGAAAGUCUGACGGAGCGACGCCGUGUGAAUGAAGAAGGCCGAAAGGUUGUAAAAUUCUUUUGCAGAUGAAGAAUAAGAUGAAGAGGGAAUGCUUCUUUGAUGACGGUAGUCAUGCGAAUA
RNAcentral lists this ribosomal RNA (473 nucleotides) under Treponema denticola. RNAcentral's name for it is "bacterial SSU rRNA". It matches the Rfam family "Bacterial small subunit ribosomal RNA", at positions 29 to 488 of the family's 1533-position model. Lineage: Bacteria; Pseudomonadati; Spirochaetota; Spirochaetia; Treponematales; Treponemataceae. The record is from RNAcentral.